UUCAGUCAGGGUUCUGGAGCCAGGUGCAUGAGUUUUGAGCCAUUCACUCGCAACAACAUCAUUACCUAAGGCAUCCUUGGCAAUGGUACCACCACUACCACCUCUUGAGCUGUUGAUUCCAAAUGGAACGAUAAAUAAUGAAUAAUAGUUGGUAACACGAACAAUAUUUGAAUGACAACAGAGCCUAGAGUAUCGGAUAGAUAGAUAGGUAGAUGGAUAGAUAGAUCAAGUUCAUCUAGUGAUACAAAAUCAAUACUGCAAUAGCAUACAAGUAAUUCUUGCUAUAACAGCCUUUCUACCUUUAGCUUAUGUAAGUACCAGAAGAAUUUUAAGGUGUCAAGUUUCCAUGGCAUUACAUUUGUCUAUAAGUCCAUAAUUUAUCCGGUAUGGAACUUAGAAACAACAACAACAACAACAACAGAUCCAGUAUAUUCCCACAAAGUGAGGUCUGGGGAGGGUAAAAUGUACACAGUCCAUACCACUACCUCCGAGGAAGUAGAGAGGCUGUUUCAUGGAACUUAGAAACAGAAACCAUAAUAUUGCAUAAGCAUGAAAAGGCUGUGACUUAGUAAAUGUUUGAUAUCAAUCAGUAGGAUGAAUAACGAAAUUUCCAUGCUAAAGUUUCAGGAAGGUUUUAUUUUUUAGUAUAUAGAAAUAUCAUCCAGAGCAUAAAAUAUGACUAAACUCACAACUUACUGAAUAGAAAGAGCAAAGUGUCAAAAACACACCCAACGUAACCGAGUUUUGUUCACUUUUGCUACCUAAACUAUAGGUGUGUAAGUUUCCUAGAUGAACUAUCGCCAAUGAUUUAUCAAAAAUACACCUCAACUAUUAUUUGUUCACUUUUGCUACCUGAAAUAUCACCAUCAUUCGGUAGUAAAAUUGAUAGUAAAGGUGUGUUUAGAUAAAUAGUUAAUGAUAAUUCAGGUAGAAAAUUCUCACACCUGAUAAUUCAGGUAUGAAACUCAAAAAACCUGGAUGCAUUAGGUGUAUUUUUGAUCACUAACUCAAAUAAAAAGUAACAUGUGGGCCUACAAUGUUAACUGAUUGUUUUCUGAAAUUUACUAUGCUGAUUGAUUGUUAGCAUAUUGAACUUAACUGGCACUGCAAUUCCAAAACCACAUAAAAACAAAUGCCAACAAUUUGAGAAAGAAAAACUUAUCAAAAAGUUCAAUAGAUUACACUAGCAAGCCAUGAAAUAGGAGUUAGACAGAAUAUAGAAUAGCAACAUACUAACAACUUAACAAGAACCAAUUCCCAAAGAAAAAGCGGAAUAAAUUGGAUUGGAAAGUAAUAUUAAUCCUAGUCCCUAAUGUAAGAUUCUAUCCUAGAAAGUCAUCUCUUAUUUCUCAUAAAAGUGAUUCAAUUGAUACGAUUUGGUAUGAGAUCGAUAAUCUUGAUGUGCUUCAUAUUCAAAUGUUUCUUCCUAGAAUUAUUAAUUUAACAUGUUAUACAAAGCUACUAUGUACACUUAUUAUAGGCGGCUACUUGAUAUUUAUCAUUUAAGUUACUCCAUAGUAUAAAACUACGUACUCCUUUCGUUCCACUUUAUGUGACAUAUUUCAGAGUUCAGCAGUCAAUUUCCAUAAUUUUUGGUGUGGAUCUGUAUCUUCAAGUUCUUACAACUAAAAUUUACUUAGAAAUGUACAUAAAAAGCAACAUAAGUCAUGAUAGUUCACGAUUCAAAAUACCUGAAAAAGUACUUUGAAUAAUCAUGGUUAGGGAAAUAAUAACUACAACAACAACAUAUGCAGUAUAUUUCCACAAAGUGGGAUCUGAGGAGGAUAAAGUAUACACAUUCGUACCACUAACUCAAAAGUGAGGUAGAGAGGCGGUACCCAAAAGACCCUCAGCUCAAGACAAAAAUAUUCUAGAGAAUUGAAAACAUAAUAUAAGAACAAGAAACAAUAGGUAGAAAUAAACAACAUAUAAAAACGAAAAAAUAAGUCUACCACAAAAUAGUACCUCACUCGACCUCUCUGAAACAACAAACAUCACCAAAACAUCAAUAUAAAGACAUUACACACAAAGCACUACGACAACUAGCACGGAUAACAAGACAAAGCAUACCUACUACCUACUGGCAGAUACAAACUCUUACCUACUACCCAUAUACCUUAAUUAGCAUCCUACACGCCUUCCUAUCUAGGAAAAUAACUACAUGUGUAUAAAAGUCAAUUUCAAUUAAAAAGGAAAAAGAACUAACCCAGGAGGUGCAAAGAAAGCAGCAUAAGGUACAAGCAUUCCACCAGUAGGGAGAGCAAUUGCACCCAAUAGAAGCAAAUUCAUGAGGUUCCUCUUUUCCAUAUCAGGCACUCUGUCAUCUGCUGGAAUGCUAGUGGCCAUACAUUUCACUUUCAUUCUCUUCUCCUUUCCUAAUCCAUGUCCAUUAACUUUCAUCGGCUUCAUGAGCAACGCUUGUGAAACCGAUGAAAGACCACUUUUGCUGG
This 2450-nucleotide long non-coding RNA is filed under the name Capsicum annuum. Its description in RNAcentral is "long non-coding RNA (CANN_LNC004548)". Lineage: Eukaryota; Viridiplantae; Streptophyta; Magnoliopsida; Solanales; Solanaceae. The record is from RNAcentral.